Molecule: long non-coding RNA, 705 nt
Filed under: Numida meleagris (helmeted guineafowl)
Lineage: Eukaryota; Metazoa; Chordata; Aves; Galliformes; Numididae
Description: lncRNA (ENSNMEG00000001916.1)
Source: RNAcentral
AUGGUGGCCAUGGCGUCUUCGCGUUGGCCAUGGGGUCUUCAUGUUGGCCAUGUUGCCUUCAUGGUGACCAAGGGGAUGAGGUGGUGGCCAUGGGGACAAGAUGGUGGCCAUGGGGAUGUCGUGUUGUACACGGGGACAUUGCAGUGGCCACGGGGUCUUCAUGUUGACCAUGGGGAUGAGGUGGUGGCCAUGGGGUCUUCGUGUUGGCCAUGGUGUCUUCACGUUGGCCAUGUUGUCUUCAUGGUGACCAAGGGGAUGAGGUGGUGGCCAUGGGGACAAGAUGGUGACCAACGGGGUGAGGUGGUGGCCAUGGGAGCCUCACGUUGGCCAUGGGGUCUUCAUGUUGGCCAUGUGGAUGAGAUGGUGGCCAUGGGGACGUCUUGUUGGCCAUGGGUUCUUCGUGUUGGCCACGGGGCCUUCAUGUUGGCCAUGGGGACAUCGUGGUGGCAUCGGGUCUUCAUUUUGACCAUGGAGACGUCGUAUUGGCCAUGGAGUCUUCACGUUGGCCAUGGGGUCUUCAUGUUGGCCAUGGGGAUGUCGUGGUGGCCAUGGGGACGUCAUGGUGACCAAGGGGAUGAGGUGGUGGCCAUGGGGACGUCAUGUUGGCCACGGGGUCUUCACGUUGGCCACGGGGUCUUCCCCGUUGACCGCCGCGCGGCGUUGUCCGCCAGGUGAACGAGGCGGAGGAGGAGCGGCUGCGCAGCG